This is a long non-coding RNA of Cebus imitator (Panamanian white-faced capuchin), 2533 nucleotides long. RefSeq lists it as uncharacterized. NCBI's taxonomy places the organism in Eukaryota, Metazoa, Chordata, Mammalia, Primates, Cebidae. The transcript is spliced from 3 exons. The record is from RefSeq and is a predicted model, not a curated record.
UUUUCAGUUUAUCUUUUACAAGUCAUUUUCUAAUUUCACAGAGUCUAUUUUCUAAUCAGUGGUAAAUAGUCAUUCAACGUUCUCCAGAGCAUCAGGUGACUAUUACGCAGGCUAAUCGUUGAUACUCGGGCUUGACGUUAGAAGGACAUGGCAUCAUCUUUUGGCCUUAUUUUCAAGUUCUGGAUAGUUUUUCUUAAUAUUUUUCUCUAAUUGAAAUGAUUUCAACUGAUAUUAUUUCUGUAUGACUUAAUAAUGAACUUCUAAGAAGGUCACAUAAAGGCCUCUUCUAAAACACACUCAUCGUUCCUUUUUUCCUCUGUAGGAACUCAUUAUACAAUGACAGAUGGAGGCAGCAUUAACAGUUCUGCACAUUUACUGGAUUUUUGGAUCAACCAGUUCCAGAUGUUGGUACAUAUCAUGAUUUCCAUACUAUUGACUGGGUGAGAGAAAAAUGUACAGACAGAGAAAGGCAUAGACGGGGCAUUGGCCGGAUUAAUAGACAUUGCUGCUGACUGGAUGACCGGCCUGAAGGUGGGCAUUUGCCUUACUGUGUUGUGGUACAACCUCGAACAGUGCUGCUGGGGAUCUAAUGAAACAACAUUUGAAGAGGGGGAUAAAUGUCCAUAGUGGAAAACAUGGGCAGAAUUAAUCACAGGGUCCUGGUUCUUAAAUCAUGAACUGUAUAACGUACAUCUUCUGGGCUUUCAGUUUUGCCUCUCUUGCAGUUUCCCUGGUAAAGGUAUUUGCUACAUAUGCCUGUGGCUCUGGAAUUCCAGGGGUAAGCCAAGUCAUAUUUAGUGUCAUUAAACAUUAUUAUGGUGCGUAUCUUUUUACCCUUAGUGACAAAAAAGUAGGCUUUGUUGGAGGGAGGGGCUGGUUUGUUCAUAAUAUGAAAAAAGGCCACUGUGGCUGAUUGUAGACAUUGUUGAAAAACAUUGUUCCCCAUUGUCAUUUAAUCUUUUACUAUGGAGGUUGAUUUUUUUUUUUCUCUCACCACUAAUUUAACACAUGGCUAGGCAAAUUUUCAGAAGAUUUAGUUAAACAUCAAGAGCCUGGAAAAAGUAUCCUGUGACCUAGUGUUCUUUGAUGGAUUAGUUGAUAUUUUGCUGUUAUGACCCUGAUUUUAAUACAUUCAUUCUCUUUUUGUAAUUACUUUUUGAUUAGAUAAGUUAAUUAUUCUUGAAUUUGGAUAUUUUAUGCUUUGAGAAAGUAGUUGGUCACAGUGGGUCAAUAGUACAAACUUUUGGGUUUUAUUUUUCAUUAAAAUAAAGUUAUAUAUAGAUUGAUUGAACUUGAUUUGAACUUACUUCUUUUCUCCCUCUUUUAUUUUUCUGUAUUUAAAUAAGUUACCAACUUUUUCCUAAUGCAUUUCUUUUUAAAAUGGAAUCGUAGUGAUCUUUAAGGUUGUAUUAAGAAUAUCUUUCAUAAAAAGCAAUAUCAUGCAUUAUAUAACAGUUUUCAUUCAUCUUUCUUGAAAUAUAAAACACGAUUCCGCAUAAUUACAGUACUCAGAGAAAACAUAAUAUUCUUAUUUCUGACACAAUGUCCAAAAUAUAUUUAAAACGUUAUGCUUAUUUUUACAACAGAAAUAUUCAAAUUUGCCUCUUUCUUGGUUAUGUAAGUAAAUCCUUAUAAUUAAGAUCUGUAUUCAUUUUAACAUGGCCUGACAUUUUGAUUUUGUUCCUGAGAUUCAGUUGCCCUCUCUCCUUUCUUGGGUAGAGAAUUAGAUCAUGAUAUCAACUUAUUAUAUGUAGCAUAAUAGGUAAAAUUUUUGAAAAACUAACCAUACAUUUUUCUAUAGGUUGCUAAAAUUUGCAAGGUCGUUUUUGUGUGUAAAACAAGAAAAUAACUUGGAUUUGUUACAUUCUUAUGCUUCUGAAAGGAAAUUAAGCUGCCUUAAUCUUUGCCUUGUACAUUAAAACUAUUUUGAGUGCAUUCAUUAUCAGAGGUUACUUGGGAAAGUAGACUUUAAUAAUUGAAACCAUCACAUCAGUCCUGGCUGUGGCAUCAGGCUUGAGUUUAGGAAAAGAAGGUCCCCUGGUCCAUGUUGUCUGUUGCUGCAGAAAUAGCUUUUCUCACGUCUUUCCAAAGUAUAGCACAAACAAAGCUAAAAAAAGGAAGGUAAGUGUCUUUUGUAGUUAAUUUGACUGAAAAAUAUCUAUUAUAUAGAGUUUAAGUAAAUAAUUUCUUUGUGUAAAAAUAACAAAUUCUGUACUCAGAUUAAAAAUUUUGAGAUGAAUUUGUGCUGUUUUGCUUUUCCUGAAUAAUCUAUAACACGUUUCUGGAACCCAUUCCCAGUGUUGCUGACUUAGUCUUAUAUUAUAGACAGCUGAUGUCCAUUGGGUUUUAGUUGCAUUUCACAAAGAUCUUUUAUGUGUAAAUUAAUUUUGAUUAUUUCUAAUUUAUGUUCUGGAAUGUAACAAUUGACCAUUUGAAGAAAUACUUUAGGUAGCUUUGAAUAUUUGCUGGAUUAAAGUAGUAAAAGGAAUACAGACUCUUGGCCAGGUGCAGUGGCUCAUGCUUAGAAUCCCAG